GACGAACCGUGCGAACGUUGUUCGGAAUCACUGGGCUUAAAGGGCGCGUAGGCGGGCUGCCAAGUCUGGGGUGAAAUCCCACGGCUCAACCGUGGAACUGCCCCGGAUACUGGCGGCCUCGAGGGGGGUAGGGGCGUGCGGAACUGUGGGUGGAGCGGUGAAAUGCGUUGAUAUCCACAGGAACUCCGGUGGCGAAGGCGGCACGCUGGCCCGGUACUGACGCUGAGGUGCGAAAGCGUGGGGAGCAAACAGG
Molecule: ribosomal RNA, 253 nt
Filed under: uncultured bacterium
Lineage: Bacteria
Description: partial 16S ribosomal RNA
Rfam family: Bacterial small subunit ribosomal RNA
Source: RNAcentral